CCCUUAGAUGUUCUGGGCCGCACGCGUGCUACACUGAGUAAUUCAAUGGGUAAGGGAACGCUAGAGCAUUACCUAAUCUUGAAAUUUGCUGGUGAUGGGGAUCGACGGUUGCAAUUUUCCGUCGUGAACGAGGAAUACCUUGUAGGCGCAUGUCAUCAUCAUGCGCCGAAUACGUCCCUGCCCUUUGUACACACCGCCCGUCGCUCCUACCGAUUGAGUGAUCCGGUGAGGCUCUGGGACCUGGACGGAAAGAGCGUUUCGCUUGUUCUGUUUGGGAAACUUGGUCGAACCUUAUCAUUUAGAGGAAGGAGAAGUCGUAACA
This 322-nucleotide ribosomal RNA is filed under the name uncultured eukaryote. Its description in RNAcentral is "partial 18S ribosomal RNA". It matches the Rfam family "Eukaryotic small subunit ribosomal RNA", at positions 1470 to 1796 of the family's 1831-position model. The record is from RNAcentral.